RNAcentral lists this ribosomal RNA (491 nucleotides) under uncultured bacterium. Its description in RNAcentral is "partial 16S ribosomal RNA". It matches the Rfam family "Bacterial small subunit ribosomal RNA", at positions 29 to 506 of the family's 1533-position model. The record is from RNAcentral.
AGUGAACGCUGGCGGUAGGCCUAACACAUGCAAGUCGAACGGCAGCACAGUAAGAGCUUGCUCUUACGGGUGGCGAGUGGCGGACGGGUGAGGAAUACAUCGGAAUCUACUUUUUCGUGGGGGAUAACGUAGGGAAACUUACGCUAAUACCGCAUACGACCUACGGGUGAAAGCAGGGGAUCUUCGGACCUUGCGCGAUUGAAUGAGCCGAUGUCGGAUUAGCUAGUUGGCGGGGUAAAGGCCCACCAAGGCGACGAUCCGUAGCUGGUCUGAGAGGAUGAACCGCCACACUGGAACUGAGACACGGGCCCGGCUCCUACGGGAGGCAGCAGGGGGGAAUAUUGGACAAUGGGCGCAAGCCUGAUCCAGCCAUACCGCGUGGGUGAAGAAGGCCUUCGGGUUGUAAAGCCCUUUUGUUGGGAAAGAAAAGCAGCAGGUUAAGACCCCGCUGUUCUGACGGUACCCAAAGAAUAAGCACCGGCGAACUUCGU